UAGAGCAUCACAACAUAACUGCUCACUGCUGUCCUGGGAUCAAAUGUGUGAGGGCGGGUUGCUUCACCAGGGCUAGAUACAGCCGCGACAUUGGUCUACACCAAUAUGUUUGCCACAAAUUGUCCUAGGGAUUUGCUUGCUGGAGAACAAUGGAUUUGCAUAACUGCUGAAACUUAAUCAUUCGGGCAAGACUGCAGUGACAGUUCACCUAUCUGAAGAUACCACUGUUAGCCCUUUAGCUUGUGCAGUAACUUUUGGUAGUGCAAAUGAUUAGUUCUCUUUGUGGUUCCUGAACCAACCCUUGAGGAUUUGGUACCUUUUGCUUCAUAUGAUGUGUAUCUUUAUAUUGUACGUGUUAACAUGUUACGGAUCAGGAUGGGAUGGAUAAGUAGUACAUCUGCUGUUUCCAGUUUUGAAAACUGAAUGAAGUGAGAGUAAAUGUAUUGUGUUGCACUUAUUUGCCUCUGAAAAUAUUACACGCCAGCAAUCUAAUGA
Long non-coding RNA from Panicum virgatum (switchgrass), 495 nucleotides. RefSeq lists it as uncharacterized. The transcript is spliced from 2 exons. NCBI's taxonomy places the organism in Eukaryota, Viridiplantae, Streptophyta, Magnoliopsida, Poales, Poaceae. The record is from RefSeq and is a predicted model, not a curated record.